AUAAAUCGAGGUGUCAACUUCUUCGACUUCAAAGCCCGACCAACACCAGUUAUCGGAGUAACACGAAGAAACACGUGAUCUCCCUCUUGGAACUCAAGUGACUUCCUCCUCUUAUCAUGAUAACUCUUCUGACGACUCGAGCAAUUCUCAUCUUCUCCUGAAUCAUCUUAAUCUUUUCCGUAGUUUGUUGAACACAUUUCCGGUCCAACCACAGCACCCUCACCGGACUCAUACCAACAUAAAGGCGUCCGACAUCUCCUACCAUACAAAGCUUCAAACGUUGCCAUACCAAUACUCGAAUGAAAACUAUUGUUGUAGGUGAACUCAAUCAAAG
RNAcentral lists this long non-coding RNA (334 nucleotides) under Lathyrus oleraceus (garden pea). RNAcentral's name for it is "Pisum sativum (pea) long non-coding RNA (PSAT_LNC023827)". Lineage: Eukaryota; Viridiplantae; Streptophyta; Magnoliopsida; Fabales; Fabaceae. The record is from RNAcentral.